AGAUUGAACGCUGGCGGCAGGCCUAACACAUGCAAGUCGAGCGGUAGAGAGGUGCUUGCAUCUCUUGAGAGCGGCGGACGGGUGAGUAAUGCCUAAGAAUCUGCCUAGUGGUGGGGGAUAACGUUCGGAAACGGACGCUAGUACCGCAUACGUCCUACGGGAGAAAGCGGGGGACCUUCGGGCCUCGCGCCAUUAGAUGAGCCUAGGUCGGAUUAGCUAGUUGGUGAGGUAAUGGCUCACCAAGGCGACGAUCCGUAACUGGUCUGAGAGGAUGAUCAGUCACACUGGAACUGAGACACGGUCCAGACUCCUACGGGAGCAGCAGUGGGGAAUAGUUGGACAAGUGGGACGAAAAGCCUAGAUCCAGCCAUCGCCGCGUGUG
This 382-nucleotide ribosomal RNA is filed under the name uncultured soil bacterium. RNAcentral describes it as "bacterial SSU rRNA". It matches the Rfam family "Bacterial small subunit ribosomal RNA", at positions 26 to 405 of the family's 1533-position model. The record is from RNAcentral.